Molecule: long non-coding RNA, 406 nt
Organism: Oncorhynchus tshawytscha (Chinook salmon)
Lineage: Eukaryota; Metazoa; Chordata; Actinopteri; Salmoniformes; Salmonidae
Source: Ensembl
CAGGGUUAGUGUCUUGGGACCAGUCAACAGGGUUAGUGUGUUGGGACCAUCAAAUCAGCAGGGUUAGUGUGUUGGGACCAGUCAGUCAGCAGGGUUAGUGUGUUGGGACCAGUCAGUCAGCAGGGUUAGUGUGUUGGGACCAGUCAUAGGGUUGGGGACCAGUCAGUCAGCAGGGUUAGUGUGUUGGGACCAGUCAGUCAACAGGGUUAGUGUGUUGGGACCAGUCAGUAGCAGGGUUAGUGUGUUGGGACCAGUCAACAGGGUUAGUGUGUUGGGACCAGUCAGUACAGGGUUAGUGUGUUGGGACCAGUCAGUCAGCAGGGUUAGUGUGUUGGGACCAGUCAGUCAACAGGGUUAGUGUGUUGGGACCAGUCAGUCAUGUUAGUGUGUUGGGACCAGUCAUCAG